This 249-nucleotide ribosomal RNA is filed under the name Cryptosporidium meleagridis. Its description in RNAcentral is "partial small subunit ribosomal RNA". It matches the Rfam family "Eukaryotic small subunit ribosomal RNA", at positions 389 to 639 of the family's 1831-position model. The record is from RNAcentral. Lineage: Eukaryota; Apicomplexa; Conoidasida; Eucoccidiorida; Cryptosporidiidae.
AGGGAGCCUGAGAAACGGCUACCACAUCUAAGGAAGGCAGCAGGCGCGCAAAUUACCCAAUUCUAAUACAGGGAGGUAGUGACAAGAAAUAACAAUACAGGACUUUUUGGUUUUGUAAUUGGAAUGAGUUAAGUAUAAACCCCUUUACAAGUAUCAAUUGGAGGGCAAGUCUGGUGCCAGCAGCCGCGGUAAUUCCAGCUCCAAUAGCGUAUAUUAAAGUUGUUGCAGUUAAAAAGCUCGUAGUUGGAU